RNAcentral lists this ribosomal RNA (441 nucleotides) under uncultured bacterium. RNAcentral describes it as "bacterial SSU rRNA". It matches the Rfam family "Bacterial small subunit ribosomal RNA", at positions 958 to 1400 of the family's 1533-position model. The record is from RNAcentral.
AACGCGAAGAACCUUACCUGGGCUUGAACCGCACAGGACCAGCUUGAGAAAUCAGGCCUUCCCGCAAGGGACCUGUGUAGAGGUGCUGCAUGGCUGUCGUCAGCUCGUGCCGUGAGGUGUUGGGUUAAGUCCCGCAACGAGCGCAACCCUUACUCAUAGUUGCUACCCGCAAGGGAGAACUCUAUGAGGACUGCUCCGGAUAACGGAGAGGAAGGUGGGGAUGAGGUCAAGUCAGCAUGGCCUUUAUGUCCAGGGCUACACACGUGUUACAAUGCGCGCCACAAAGCGUCGCGAACCCGCGAGGGGGAGCUAAUCGCAAAAAAGCGCGCUCAGUUCGGAUUGCAGUCUGCAACUCGACUGCAUGAAGCCGGAAUCGCUAGUAAUGGCGCAUCAGAACGGCGCCGUGAAUACGUUCCCGGGCCUUGUACACACCGUAGAGAC